Molecule: ribosomal RNA, 966 nt
Filed under: uncultured bacterium
Lineage: Bacteria
Description: bacterial SSU rRNA
Rfam family: Bacterial small subunit ribosomal RNA
Source: RNAcentral
GGGACCGGUUUCGGAUUAUUGGGCGUAAGAGCUCGUAGGCGGUUUGUCGCGUCUGCCGUGAAAGUCCGGGGCUCAACUCCGGAUCUGCGGUGGGUACGGGCAGACUAGAGUGAUGUAGGGGAGACUGGAAUUCCUGGUGUAGCGGUGGAAUGCGCAGACAUCAGGAGGAACACCGAUGGCGAAGGCAGGUCUCUGGGCAUUAACUGACGCUGAGGAGCGAAAGCAUGGGGAGCGAACAGGAUUAGAUACCCUGGUAGUCCAUGCCGUAAACGUUGGGCACUAGGUGUGGGGGACAUUCCACGUUUUCCGCGCCGUAGCUAACGCAUUAAGUGCCCCGCCUGGGGAGUACGGCCGCAAGGCUAAAACUCAAAGGAAUUGACGGGGGCCCGCACAAGCGGCGGAGCAUGCGGAUUAAUUCGAUGCAACGCGAAGAACCUUACCAAGGCUUGACAUACACCGGAAACGUCCAGAGAUGGGCGCCCCGCAAGGUCGGUGUACAGGUGGUGCAUGGUUGUCGUCAGCUCGUGUCGUGAGAUGUUGGGUUAAGUCCCGCAACGAGCGCAACCCUCGUUCUAUGUUGCCAGCGCGUAAUGGCGGGGACUCAUAGGAGACUGCCGGGGUCAACUCGGAGGAAGGUGGGAAUGACGUCAAAUCAUCAUGCCCCUUAUGUCUUGGGCUUCACGCAUGCUACAAUGGCCGGUACAAAGGGCUGCGAUACCGCGAGGUGGAGCGAAUCCCAGAAAACCGGUCUCAGUUCGGAUUGGGGUCUGCAACUCGACCCCAUGAAGUCGGAGUCGCUAGUAAUCGCAGAUCAGCAACGCUGCGGUGAAUACGUUCCCGGGCCUUGUACACACCGCCCGUCAAGUCACGAAAGUCGGUAACACCCGAAGCCGGUGGCCCAACUCGCAAGAGGGGGAGCCGUCGAAGGUGGGACUGGCGAUUGGACUAAGUCGUAACAAGGUAACC